UUGCUACUUUAUAAUGAAAAUUUAAAAAUUAUAUGGGAAGAUUUUUCUCUGGGAUAACAAAUCCUUGUCAUAAAGUAAGAGGUCUUUUUAAAGUAGGUAGGCUAUAAGGCCUGUAAUUUAAAAUAAUACUCCUUUCUCUAGGGGUUCGUGCAAUUCUCCAUUAAUGAAGAUAACAUUUGAAUUCCCCAAAGCAGAACAUCCUAUAUUUAUGAGAACAUUCUUUAAGAAGACCACCACAUAGAAUACCCCUUCCUAUCAGCUCUCUCUGAUUUAGCCUUAAUUUUGUUAAAUUUUUUAGAGAUGAAUGAAGUGCUGCUGUGGAAAGAAAUGUACAUAGACUAUUUCUGUAUCAUUAAAAUUACAUUUUUAU
This 370-nucleotide small RNA is filed under the name Pan troglodytes (chimpanzee). RNAcentral's name for it is "retained intron". Lineage: Eukaryota; Metazoa; Chordata; Mammalia; Primates; Hominidae. The record is from RNAcentral.